AGCAAUCUCUUUUGAUGGGACUACGGCUUAAUAAUUGUCAUUAGUCCACGUGCCAUUACUUAUAUGCCGUUACUUACAUCGAGUUAGUUUCAGAGAGUGACAAAUGACGAUAACGAGGAGGAUGAAGAUGAUGAGCUUAUUGAUCUAAUCCCAGUAUUAUUAUUGAACAGUCGUCAUUAUUGUUUCUGGUUGAUCCUGAAACAAAUUCCAUCUCAGUCAAUAAGCUCUGGCUCGGUCGUAAGAUUGGUAGCAGUCGUCUAGAGAGAGGACCAGACCAGCUACCUAUUAUUUUCCUGAACUCAAUCUAGUAUGUUAGGAGGAGGGCUUCACGAGAAUCAAGGUCGGGGGACCCAAAUUAAGAGUGAUCCGGAAUCCUGCGAUUAUCAUUAUCCCACUUUACUAUUGAGAUUUACUCCAAGAACAUAAGCAGUUUAAGGACUUGCUUAGGUUCUCAUAUUCAGACGAAGAAGGAAGUCGAAAUUAAGCUCGCGAGUGGCAUUUUCCCAGUUGAAUUGGUCCCCUUUUUCUUUCGAGUUUUUGUGCUUUUUUAGUACUGUCGUGGUCAUUGCAUCGGUAUCUUAUUCAUUCAGAAUUUUGAUGCUUUACUUUCACGUUCUUUUAUGGGAUACGGACUUGUGCUUUUGUUCUGUGCAUUUCUUAGAGUUGUUUGAAUGACAAAGAUAUUGGUUGGCUUGCUUGCUUCCAGUAAGUCGGCAGUGGUAACUUUUAGCACGAUUGUAAUCCCAAGCAACGCAUCUUUGGUGAUCUUUUAUGAUGUAUCUCUUGUCGGUGGCGAGCAAUGAGAGGGAGUACUGUGCAUGUCUAUCGUGAAGACUAAUCACGUCCAUCCAAUUCUUCCCCAAUGACAACUUCAAAUAACUCACCUCGCUGCAUUACCUCAUUGUACUGCAGUUGGCCCAUUAUGUUGCAUCUCUGCUGCGGAAUGCCGUAGUCGAGAAACAAAGAAACUCUGGCCAAGAAAACUUCCUUCCGGUUGCUCAUAAGUGCAAUGUCCGACUACUGCUGUUUCUAGGAAAUAUGGCAUUGACGCUUGUCCCCUGGAUUGUCACAAAAAA
Eucalyptus grandis is the source of this 1076-nucleotide long non-coding RNA. RefSeq lists it as uncharacterized. NCBI's taxonomy places the organism in Eukaryota, Viridiplantae, Streptophyta, Magnoliopsida, Myrtales, Myrtaceae. The record is from RefSeq and is a predicted model, not a curated record. The transcript has 2 exons.